CUGGUUCAGAACGAACGCUGGCGGCGUGCUUAACACAUGCAAGUCGAACGCGAAAGGGACUUCGGUCCUGAGUAAAGUGGCGCACGGGUGAGUAACGCGUAGAUAACCUGUCUUCAUGUCUGGAAUAAUACGCCGAAAGGGGUACUAAUACCGGAUAUUCUUGCUUUUUCAUAAGUUAUGCAAGCAAAGGUGGCCUCUGCAUAUGCUACUGCAUGAAGAGGGGUCUGCGUACCAUUAGCUAGUAGGUGGGGUAAUGGCCUACCUAGGCGACGAUGGUUAGCGGGUCUGAGAGGAUGAUCCGCCACACUGGCACUGGAACACGGGCCAGACUCCUACGGGAGGCAGCAGUGAGGAAUAUUGCGCAAUGGGGGAAACCCUGACGCAGCGACGCCGCGUGAGUGAGGAAGGCCUUCGGGUCGUAAAGCUCUGUCAAGAGGAAAGAAGUGUACAAUGGCUAAUACCUGUUGUAUUUGACGGUACCUCUAAAGGAAGCACCGGCUAACUCCGUGCCAGCCGCGGC
This 520-nucleotide ribosomal RNA is filed under the name uncultured bacterium. RNAcentral describes it as "bacterial SSU rRNA". It matches the Rfam family "Bacterial small subunit ribosomal RNA", at positions 19 to 518 of the family's 1533-position model. The record is from RNAcentral.